Molecule: ribosomal RNA, 403 nt
Filed under: uncultured bacterium
Lineage: Bacteria
Description: bacterial SSU rRNA
Rfam family: Bacterial small subunit ribosomal RNA
Source: RNAcentral
UGAGGGAUAUUGGUCAAUGGGCGCAAGCCUGAACCAGCGACGCCGCGUGGGUGAAGAAGGUCUUCGGAUCGUAAACCCCUUUUCCCACUGAAGAGGAAGGACGGUAGGUGGGGAAGAAGUCUCGGCUAACUACGUACCAGCAGCCGCGGUAAAACGUAGGAGACAAGCGUUAUCCGGAGUUACUGGGCGUAAAGGGCGUGCAGGUGGCGUCUUAAGUCUGUUGUGAAAGCGCCUGGCUUAACCGGGCGAGGCCAAUGGAGACUGAGAGGCUGGAGGACGGCGGAGGGGUGUGGAAUUCCUGGUGUAGUGGUGAAAUGCGUAGAGAUCCGGAGGAACACCAGAGGCGAAGGCGGCACUCUAAGCCGUACCUGACACUGAGACGCGACAGCACGGGGAGCAAACG